This 163-nucleotide ribosomal RNA is filed under the name Krigia virginica. RNAcentral describes it as "5.8S ribosomal RNA". It matches the Rfam family "5.8S ribosomal RNA". Rfam says of the family: 5.8S ribosomal RNA (5.8S rRNA) is a component of the large subunit of the eukaryotic ribosome. It is transcribed by RNA polymerase I as part of the 45S precursor that also contains 18S and 28S rRNA. The record is from RNAcentral. Lineage: Eukaryota; Viridiplantae; Streptophyta; Magnoliopsida; Asterales; Asteraceae.
AAACGACUCUCGGCAACGGAUAUCUCGGCUCUCGCAUCGAUGAAGAACGUAGCGAAAUGCGAUACUUGGUGUGAAUUGCAGAAUCCCGUGAACCAUCGAGUUUUUGAACGCAAGUUGCGCCCAAAGCCAUCCGGCCGAGGGCACGCCUGCCUGGGCGUCACGC